Long non-coding RNA from Colletes gigas, 1175 nucleotides. RefSeq lists it as uncharacterized. Lineage: Eukaryota; Metazoa; Arthropoda; Insecta; Hymenoptera; Colletidae. The record is from RefSeq and is a predicted model, not a curated record. The transcript is spliced from 3 exons.
ACCGAGAACUUAUUGCACUUUCGUACUAUAUCAGACCACGUGAACGUUAGUUCGUAGAAUUUCGGAGAGUCGAGAAAGAGAAAUUGACACUCGCUCUCUUUCUCGAUUCUCAAAAGCUGCGCAAAGUUCUUUCAGACAAUUAUCUGAGACUACAAAACGAUCGAAGGAAAUUUUAAAUGAAGUAGGAAAUAAUUGUGUCGAAAAAGCAAGAUGUUAUGUGGCACAUGAAGUGGCCUGUCAAGUUCAGGUAUGAUGUUAACAGCAAGCUCAAUUGUUUCAAAGAGCAAGUGAAAUUCAUGUAGCUGCAAAGGAAACUGUAACCUUGGCUAAAAGUCGAAUUAUAAAUAAUUGGCAUAAAUGAAAUUUUGAUCAGGCAUAGUAGGAUAUGUUAAAACAUGCAACUAUUAAAGUCAUGAAUGCAGAGAAUCAAGAAAGGAAAUGUGGCUGAGAACAUUAUAGAAGGGCAGUACUGUUCCACAAUGUUGAAAAAGAUUACUAGAAUUAAAAGAAAAACAUUGUUGCUCAAUAAUAAAAGCGCGACCAUAUCUCAAAAUUGAAGCUCAAUGUGAUCAAAUGUUAGCAACGCGAAAAGAAAGGGUUGAAUGUUUACAAAAAACAAUACUAGAUGCAAAAUUAAAUUAUGCCACAAGUCUCUGUACACUGGAAGAAAUUAGUAACUAAAUACAUCAACAACGUCGAGAUUCUAGCAUUUUUAUUAAACAAUUUAAAAAAAAAAAUUUAAAUCGGUUUCAAAAGUUGCAAAAUUUUCAAACUUCGGAAAAUUCAUUAACAAAUAUGUUUUCAGCGACGCCUAUUGAAGAUUCAAGUAGAGUGAAGGACCAAAAUUCUGAUUCAUUAGUAUUAAAUGACUGUAAAAUUGAUUUUAGAGAUGGAAUAUCAAAAUCCUUAAGAAACAGUCCUACAAAACCGAGAGAAUUUGAUUUACAAUUGACAUUUGUUGAUAAAAUGAAUAUCACUACAAAAUAUACAUUGCAUAUAUGCUUUAAAAUAAUUAGUUGUUCAAAAUAUUAUUCAUCAAUUUAAUUUAUUUCUAAAACGCGAUAUCAAGGUAUGUUUCUGUAAAACAGAAUUAGAAAAGAGUAAAACAUUUCUCAAUCCUAUAUUAAUAAAAAAUCGAAACCACAGUACAUAUAUUCCAUGCUUCAUAUUUACAU